UGUGUAGGCGGUUGUUUAAGUUUGGUGUGAAAUCUCCCGGCUCAACCGGGAGGGUGCGCCGAAUACUGAAUGACUCGAGUGCGGGAGAGGAGAGUGGAAUUCCUGGUGUAGCGGUGAAAUGCGUAGAUAUCAGGAGGAACACCGGUGGUGUAGACGGCUCUCUGGACCGUAACUGACGCUGAGGCACGAAAGCUAGGGGAGCAAACA
Molecule: ribosomal RNA, 207 nt
Filed under: uncultured bacterium
Lineage: Bacteria
Description: partial 16S ribosomal RNA
Rfam family: Bacterial small subunit ribosomal RNA
Source: RNAcentral